Molecule: ribosomal RNA, 405 nt
Filed under: uncultured bacterium
Lineage: Bacteria
Description: partial 16S ribosomal RNA
Rfam family: Bacterial small subunit ribosomal RNA
Source: RNAcentral
GACGAACGCUGGCGGCGUGCUUAACACAUGCAAGUCGAACGAGAGUCGCACGGGUGAGAAACACGUGGGUAACCUGCCCUUUUUUUGGGAUAAGCCAUGGAAACGGGGUCUAAUAUCGAAUACGGUGGAUGGGCUCGCGGCCUAUCAGCUUGUUGGUGGGGUGAUGGCCUACCGAGGCGGUGCCGGGUAGCCGGCCUGAGCGGGUGACGGGCAACAGUGAGACUGUGAUACGUCCCAGAGUGCGACGGGGGGCAGAAGUGGGGAAUAUGGGACAAGGGGGGAAGUACGCAUGCGGCGACGCCGCGAGGGGGAUGAGGGCUUUCGGGUUGUAAACGUCUGUCGCAAGCGAACGGGUAGGUGGAGAAGAAGCGCCGGCUAACUCCGUGCCAGCAGCCGCGGUAAUAC